Molecule: transfer RNA, 73 nt
Filed under: Anaplasma marginale
Lineage: Bacteria; Pseudomonadati; Pseudomonadota; Alphaproteobacteria; Rickettsiales; Anaplasmataceae
Also listed under: 6 other names
Description: tRNA-Val
Rfam family: tRNA
About the family: Transfer RNA (tRNA) molecules are approximately 80 nucleotides in length. Their secondary structure includes four short double-helical elements and three loops (D, anti-codon, and T loops).
Source: RNAcentral
GGGUGAUUAGCUCAGGUGGUAGAGCGUUUGCUUGACGUGCAAGAGGUCACUGGUUCGAGUCCAGUAUUACCCA